Molecule: ribosomal RNA, 497 nt
Filed under: uncultured bacterium
Lineage: Bacteria
Description: partial 16S ribosomal RNA
Rfam family: Bacterial small subunit ribosomal RNA
Source: RNAcentral
GACGAACGCUGGCGGCGUGCCUAAUACAUGCGAGUUGAGCGCUGAAGGUUGGUACUUGUACCAACUGGAUGAGCAGCGAACGGGUGAGUACCGCGUGGGGAAUCUGCCUUUGAGCGGGGGACAACAUUUGGAAACGAAUGCUAAUACCGCAUAAAAACUUUAAACACAAGUUUUAAGUUUGAAAGAUGCAAUUGCAUCACUCAAAGAUGAUCCCGCGUUGUAUUAGCUAGUUGGUGAGGUAAAGGCUCACCAAGGCGAUGAUACAUAGCCGACCUGAGAGGGUGAUCGGCCACAUUGGGACUGAGACACGGCCCAAACUCCUACGGGAGGCAGCAGUAGGGAAUCUUCGGCAAUGGACGAAAGUCUGACCGAGCAACGCCGCGUGAGUGAAGAAGGUUUUCGGAUCGUAAAACUCUGUUGGUAGAGAAGAACGUUGGUGAGAGUGGAAAGCUCAUCAAGUGACGGUAACUACCCAGAAAGGGACGGCUAACUACGUG